AUUGAACGCUGGCGGCAGGCCUAACACAUGCAAGUCGAGCGGAGCGGGGGACGGGGGCGUAAUGCCUAGGAAUCUGCCUGGGAGUGGGGGAUAACGUCCGGAAAUGGGCGCUAAUACCGCAUACUCUCAGAUGAGCCUAGGUCGGAUUAGCUAGUGGGUGGGGUAAAGGCCUACCAAGGCGACGAUCCGUAACUGGUCUGAGAGGAUGAGCAGUCACACUGGAACUGAGACACGGUCCAGACUCCUACGGGAGGCAGCAGUGGGGAAUAUUGGACAAUGGGCGAAAGCCUGAUCCAGCCAUGCCGCGUGUGUGAAGAAGGUCUUCGGAUUGUAAAGCACUUUAAGUUGGGAGGCGUUACCCACAGAAUAAGCACCGGCUAACUUCGUGCCAGCCGCCGCGGUAAUAC
RNAcentral lists this ribosomal RNA (407 nucleotides) under uncultured bacterium. RNAcentral's name for it is "partial 16S ribosomal RNA". It matches the Rfam family "Bacterial small subunit ribosomal RNA", at positions 30 to 526 of the family's 1533-position model. The record is from RNAcentral.